UCAAUGGCCACCGGGCUCACCUGGUGAAACAGGCCUCAAACUUUUCAAAAUGGAGUCGCUCGGCCUGCUGGUGGGAGAGCAGAGCUGUUGGUUAGCCCAGAAAUGGCCACUUGAAGCCACUAUUAUCCAGUAAAUCUCCUCCGCUUUCUAUGUCAAGGAACUUUUCGAGUGUUUGUGAAAGCAAAUGCUGCGCUUACCUGGACCUGUCCACCAUUAACCUGCUGUCUUUAGAGGCCGUUUAUUUAGCUAGCUUGUUUAACGUUAACUGGUCUCUGAAAGCACCCGACAUUCCUCCUCUGCCAACAGCAUUUCUGACCACGGGGUCAGGGCGAGUUGAAUCUCAUGUCAGAAUUGCCCCCACGUUGACCUGCGCCUGACUGGCCUCCCAGCAAAAAGCCCCUGUGAAGCACAAGGCAGAGAGGGCUACGCUGAUCCGAAGGUUGGGAAAAAAAACAAAACAAAAAAAAAAACAUCCUCCUCCUCUCCGCCAGCUGAACAUCUGUCUCUGUGGUGUUGGCAGCAGCGCAGACUCUCGACACAUCCAGAUGGAGAGCCCGCUGGGAGCGCUGAGGUAUUACCUACAGAGAUGGCAGGGAUCACACCUCUGGAAUGAAGUUCCACACUUGUUUUCCGCACCGUCCCCUUUUUUUGUUGUUGAAUCUGUCACAUUUCACCAUAUCGAUUGUCGCCUCCCCAGUCCUUGGCCUCGUGACUCAUCUGAAGAGGAAGAUUUGGCUUGUAAAGAAAUGCAUGACAACAAACCUCUUAGCCCUUUUCUAAUUUACAGUAAUGGGCCGUAUGGUAUUUCAACUGUAACUUCUAUUCGUGGAACUGUAUUAAUUUUUAAUAUAGUUGUGAGAGAACUGCACACUCAUGCAGAUAUAUUUCAAAUGACUGCUGAUUUCCAUUUCCUAGAAACAGGCCUAAAACAGUUUAAAGUUCACACAAACUUCAACCUUAGCUAAAUGGCCUAUAACCUCGUUAGUUCAAAUAUUAAAAGCAAUACCUGCGAAAAUCUAAGGUCUGAGAGGCCGGGAGUUGACUUCUCCGAGCCACUCUGGGUGUCAUGACAGAUUGACUCUGCAUUCAUUUGUGCCUGAACUCUGAGUGAACCUCAGCUUUAGGAAAAAGGGCACCAACAGGCCAGCGCUGCUGGGGCAGAAACUGUUUGCCUGCAAACCUAAAACCCAGUGCAAAUAUUGAAACUGCUGCCCCUUUUAGCAUCAGAUGAGCCUAGGUGGCCAGGUCCGGCAAACGUUUAGCUAAAGGCCAAGCCGAAAUGAGCGCUGAGAUGUUAAAUUACCCACUUAGCUUCUCUGUUGUUUAAAAGGAAAAAUUUAGCGGUUUUAUUUAAAAAAAAAAAAAAAAAAAAAAAAAAAAGUUUAA
Xiphias gladius (swordfish) is the source of this 1386-nucleotide long non-coding RNA. RefSeq lists it as uncharacterized. Lineage: Eukaryota; Metazoa; Chordata; Actinopteri; Istiophoriformes; Xiphiidae. The record is from RefSeq and is a predicted model, not a curated record. The transcript has 3 exons.